CCUACGGGAGGCAGCAGUGAGGAAUAUUGGUCAAUGGACGAGAGUCUGAACCAGCCAAGUCGCGUGAAGGAUGACUGCCCUAUGGGUUGUAAACUUCUUUUAUAUGGGAAUAAAGUGUUCCACGUGUGGGAUUUUGUAUGUACCAUAUGAAUAAGGAUCGGCUAACUCCGUGCCAGCAGCCGCGGUAAUACGGAGGAUCCGAGCGUUAUCCGGAUUUAUUGGGUUUAAAGGGAGCGUAGGUGGAUUGUUAAGUCAGUGGUGAAAGUUUGCGGCUCAACCGUAAAAUUGCAGUUGAAACUGGCAGUCUUGAGUACAGUAGAGGUGGGCGGAAUGCGUGGUGUAGCGGUGAAAUGCUUAGAUAUCACGAAGAACUCCGAUUGCGAAGGCAGUUCACUGGACUGCAACUGACACUGAGGCUCGAAAGUGUGGGUAUCAAACAGGAUUAGAUACCCGUGUAGUC
RNAcentral lists this ribosomal RNA (460 nucleotides) under uncultured bacterium. RNAcentral describes it as "partial 16S ribosomal RNA". It matches the Rfam family "Bacterial small subunit ribosomal RNA", at positions 338 to 795 of the family's 1533-position model. The record is from RNAcentral.